AGAGUUUGAUUCUGGCUCAGGAUGAACGCUGGCGGUAUGCUUAACACAUGCAAGUCGAACGGUCUUUUCGGAGAUAGUGGCGGACGGGUGAGUAACGCGUGAGAAUCUAGCUUUAGGUUCGGGACAACCAUUGGAAACGGUGGCUAAUACCGGAUGUGCCGAGAGGUAAAAGGCUUGCUGCCUAGAGAUGAGCUCGCGUCUGAUUAGCUAGUUGGUAGUGUAAGGGACUACCAAGGCGACGAUCAGUAGCUGGUCUGAGAGGAUGAUCAGCCACACUGGGACUGAGACACGGCCCAGACUCCUACGGGAGGCAGCAGUGGGGAAUUUUCCGCAAUGGGCGAAAGCCUGACGGAGCAAUACCGCGUGAGGGAGGAAGGCUCUUGGGUUGUAAACCUCUUUUCUCAAGGAAUAAGAAAGUGAAGGUACUUGAGGAAUAAGCAUCGGCUAACUCCGUGCCAGCAGCCGCGGUAAUACGGAGGAUGCAAGCGUUAUCCGGAAUGAUUGGGCGUAAAGCGUCCGCAGGUGGUGAUGAAAGUCUGCUGUCAAAGAAUCAGGCUUAACCUGAUCAAGGCAGUGGAAACUACAUGACUAGAGUGCGUUCGGGGCAGAAGGAAUUCCUGGUGUAGCGGUGAAAUGCGUAGAUAUCAGGAAGAACACCGGUGGCGGAAGCGUUCUGCUAGGCCGUAACUGACACUGAGGGACGAAAGCUAGGGGAGCGAAUGGGAUUAGAUACCCCAGUAGUCCUAGCCGUAAACGAUGGAUACUAGGCGUUGCUUGUAUCGACCCGAGCAGUGCCGUAGCUAACGCGUUAAGUAUCCCGCCUGGGGAGUACGCACGCAAGUGUGAAACUCAAAUGAAUUGACGG
RNAcentral lists this ribosomal RNA (865 nucleotides) under uncultured bacterium. Its description in RNAcentral is "bacterial SSU rRNA". It matches the Rfam family "Bacterial small subunit ribosomal RNA", at positions 8 to 916 of the family's 1533-position model. The record is from RNAcentral.